AGGUAGCAAAAUCAAUUGUUCAUUAAUUGUGGACUGGUAUCAAUGGCUUGACGAUAGAAAAACUGUCUCUUUCUACUUCUUUAGAACUUUAUUAAAGAGUGAAGAAGCUCUUAUAAGUUAGCGGGACGAGAAGACCCCGUUGAGCUUUAGGUGCUUAAACUUACUUAAAAGUUUACCACUUUUGGUUGGGGCAACCGAUUUUAAUAUUAAACAAAAAUAAUCAAAAAAUGAAUUAAAUCUUAUCUUUAAGCCUUAAUUUUAAGAAAAUAUAAUAAGUUACCACGGGGAUAACAGCGUAAUUUUUUUUGAGAGUUCUUAUUGACAAAAAAGUUUGCGACCUCGAUGUU
RNAcentral lists this ribosomal RNA (347 nucleotides) under Ophiothrix trindadensis. Its description in RNAcentral is "partial 16S ribosomal RNA". It matches the Rfam family "Bacterial large subunit ribosomal RNA", at positions 1954 to 2533 of the family's 2925-position model. The record is from RNAcentral. Lineage: Eukaryota; Metazoa; Echinodermata; Ophiuroidea; Amphilepidida; Ophiotrichidae.